RNAcentral lists this long non-coding RNA (629 nucleotides) under Mytilus galloprovincialis (Mediterranean mussel). The record is from RNAcentral. Lineage: Eukaryota; Metazoa; Mollusca; Bivalvia; Mytilida; Mytilidae.
CAUUUUUAGCUCACCUGGCCCGAAGGGCCAAGUGAGCUUUUCUCAUCACUUGGCGUCCGGCGUCCGUCGUCCGUCGUCCGUCGUCCGUCGUCCGUCGUCGUCCGUCGUUAACUUUUACAAAAAUCUUCUCCUCUGAAACUACUGGACCAAUUAAACAACAACUUGGCAAUAAUCAUCAUUGGGGUAUCUAGUUUAAAAAUUGUGUCCGGUGACCCGCCCAACCAACCAAGAUGGCCGCCAUGGCUAAAAAUAGAACAUAGGGGUAAAAUGCAGUUUUUGGCUUAUAACUCAAAAACCAAAGCAUUUAGAGCAAAUCUGACAUGGGGUAAAAUUGUUUAUCAGGUCAAGAUCUAUCUGCCCUGAAAUUUUCAGAUGAAUCGGACAACCCGUUGAUAGGUUGCUGCCCCUGAAUUGGUAAUUUUGAGAAAAUUUUGCUGUUUUUGGUUAUUAUCUUGAAUAUUAUUAUAGAUAGAGAUAAACUGUGAACAGCAAAAAUGUUCAACAAAGUAAGAUCUACAAAUAAGUCAACAUGACCAAAAUGGUCUGUUGACCCCUUUAGAAGUUAUUGCCCUUUAUAGUCAAUUUUUAACCAUUUUUCGUAAAUCUUAAUUAUCUUUUACAAAAAUCUU